AAAACCCCAAAUAUCAGAAGAUUUGGCAACAUUGCAACUGGAGCCAGCUUUUCAAAAGAUCUCUGCUAAAAAUGGCCAGGAUUUCAGAAGUGUUCAGCUCCCACUGUGACUCUCAGGACCAGCUCUUUUGAACAAGCUGAUCUCUUCUCGAAAGCUGGUUCUGAAGUCCUUUUGAGCCCUCCAAGCGUACUUAAUGGUGUCUCUGACUUGAACUGGUUCUUCUGCACAACAGUGAAUUUCAUCCAGCCAGUGCUGGCAGCCUGCAGAGUAAUCUCCCUGGGGUUGGGGGAGGGGAAGCCCCAUUGCUCAGAUCAUUUCAAACCAAACUGGCCAAAGCACUAGAGGAAAGAGCGUGGGGAACGAUCCUGCACUGGCUUCGCUGGAGGGGAGUGGACAAGGUGACCCAAUAGGUGUUUUCAAUCAGCGACUCCCAUGGGUAAGAGCAAGAUGAGUUGAUGUCACAGAGUACUGGAAUCAGUUUGAAGAGAGAGGGUGAAGUAGUAAAUGAAAGCGCCGCAGGAACUAAGUAUAUGGACCAUCAUAAUGUUUUACAUUCACACAACACCUUUCCUCCCGGGACGUGCUGCCAGCUACCUACGCAUGGGCUAGAGGACAGCCACGGCAGCAACUCUGGAACUAUUCCCGCUGUUGAACUGGUUCCAACUCCCUUCCAUCCACAGAGUUAAUGCAGGAAACGUGUCAAAGUAAAA
Molecule: non-coding RNA, 710 nt
Organism: Chelonoidis abingdonii (Abingdon island giant tortoise)
Lineage: Eukaryota; Metazoa; Chordata; Testudines; Testudinidae
Source: RefSeq, a predicted model, not a curated record